RNAcentral lists this long non-coding RNA (757 nucleotides) under Canis lupus familiaris (dog). RNAcentral's name for it is "lncRNA (ENSCAFG00030001914.1)". The record is from RNAcentral. Lineage: Eukaryota; Metazoa; Chordata; Mammalia; Carnivora; Canidae.
CAGUACUGUCCUGGGGCCAAGGGGAGAAGAGGCAGGAGUACCCACAGCUUCCCUUGUGCAGUUGUUUAGGUUGUGCACUAAAAAAGUGGCCUAGCUCAGGAAACAAGGGUCAGAUUUCCUGUGCUCCUCCCACCAUGCUGGCUCCAAUGUAGAGAGGUGUUUUUCCUAAUUUGCUCCAAGGGGCUUGGGUCUCUACCCCUAAACCUGUUUUUUAUUCAUUCACACAGGAGACUCCACUCUUGCCUAUGUCCUGCCUCCCAGCUCCCUGAGUACCUAUCUCCCUUUUCAUUAGUUCUUCUCUGCCUUCCAGGAAGCCAGCAGCAACCCCAAGAAAGUGGCCUAGCUUGAGAGAGGCCUGAAGAAACCAGCAGGGACAGAGCUUCCAAGAGUCUCUGCUUCCGAGAGCACCUCCCACGCCAGAGGCCUGCCCCCAGCCCUCGACUCCUCUCCACCUUCGGAGGAAGCUCCAGCCAAGACAAACUGCUCAGCCAGCACUUCGGGACAACCCAACUGCUGUUGGGCAACAUGGCAACAUGGUCAUCCCACCGAACCCAACACGACAGCGAACGUGAAGAGCUAUGACCGCCUCAGCCAACCCGGAGAGAUGCCCCGCACCCAACGUGAACUGGAAGCAGCUACAGAAGGAUAAAUCCAGGGGGAAGCUCUUCAUUAGAUGUACGGAAGCACACAAAACGAUACGAGCCCCUGGACUCCGCCGGACACAGAGGCCGAGUGAAAGAUGCGAAGGCUCCUAGGA